AUUGAACGCUGGCGGCAUGCCUUACACAUGCAAGUCGAACGGCAGCACGGGGGCGAACCCUGGUGGCGAGUGGCGAACGGGUGAGUAAUACAUCGGAACGUGUCCUGUAGCGGGGAGUAACCUCUCGAAGAGAGGCUAAUACCGCAUACGACCUACGGGUGGAAGAAGGGGGAGUCGCAAGACCUCUCACUAUAGGAGCGGCCGAUGUCGGAUUAGCUAGUUGGUGGGGUAAAGGACCACCAAGGCUACGAUCCGUAGCUGGUCUGAGAGGACGACCAGCCACACUGGAACUGAGACACGGUCCAGACUCCUACGGGAGGGCAGCAGUGGGGGAAUUUUGGUACAAUGGGCGCAAGCCUGAUCCAGCCAUGCCGCGUGGGU
This 381-nucleotide ribosomal RNA is filed under the name uncultured bacterium. Its description in RNAcentral is "bacterial SSU rRNA". It matches the Rfam family "Bacterial small subunit ribosomal RNA", at positions 29 to 406 of the family's 1533-position model. The record is from RNAcentral.